AAAGCUGAUCCAUACGUGUUGCUAACACGCAAAACCCAGG
RNAcentral lists this transfer RNA (40 nucleotides) under Leposoma nanodactylus. Its description in RNAcentral is "partial tRNA-Ser". The record is from RNAcentral. Lineage: Eukaryota; Metazoa; Chordata; Lepidosauria; Squamata; Gymnophthalmidae.